GAGAAGCAAGUGACGCAUUUCCUGCCUCUUUUAAACCCCGGGAAACGGAGAGUUUCCCCCUCUUUCUCGAAGACGAGGCGGCGGCAGCGGUCUUCUGCUCUCAUGUCAAUGGCAGAAUUACAGCUCGCUAUCAUGACUUACCAAGACUGCGUAUCAGUCUGGCUGCAGGACACAGGAUAAGGGCGGCUUGCUCUCACUCGGGUCCUUGCAUCACCCGAGAGCAGCAGCAAGGCGCUCAUUAAAUGAAAAUGCAUUUAACAUGCAGGAGGCGGCUGUUACCUGUCCAUCAGGUACUGCAUUAGCAUACGGCAAAGCCAAUAUGAAGUGAAACUUUUGAAUGGCACGCAACGAAAAUAGGACCACAAAGGAUUGUAAGUUUUUCCACAGGCAAAACUAUAAAUCCAGAUGGCAUGCUGGAUCAACCCGAGCUGAUGAAAAAUAACAGUGGAGGGCCGAAAAGGGAAAAAAAAUGGUGGCGAUCGAAUGAGAAUUUCACACCUACAGUACCUACCACACAUGGUCUUCACACAUCGGAUAGGGCUCGGAGAGAAAGCCCAGAUGAACACAAAUGUAAAUGUAUCGUUUAUGACAUUACAGUAACAAUAACAGUAAUGUUAUUGUUUCAUGCUUUUCACUGUAAUAUCUGGAGCUUCCCGUUUCAUAAUAAACAUUUAACAAUGCAAACAAA
This is a long non-coding RNA of Puntigrus tetrazona (Sumatra barb), 688 nucleotides long. RefSeq lists it as uncharacterized. The record is from RefSeq and is a predicted model, not a curated record. The transcript has 4 exons. NCBI's taxonomy places the organism in Eukaryota, Metazoa, Chordata, Actinopteri, Cypriniformes, Cyprinidae.